GAUGAAUGCUGGCGGCGUGCCUAAUACAUGCAAGUCGAGCGAACAGACGAGGAGCUUGCUCCUCUGACGUUAGCGGCGGACGGGUGAGUAACACGUGGAUAACCUACCUAUAAGACUGGGAUAACUUCGGGAAACCGGAGCUAAUACCGGAUAACAUGUUGAACCGCAUGGUUUAACAGUGAAAGACGGUCUUGCUGUCACUUAUAGAUGGAUCCGCGCCGCAUUAGCUAGUUGGUAAGGUAACGGCUUACCAAGGCAACGAUGCGUAGCCGACCUGAGAGGGUGAUCGGCCACACUGGAACUGAGACACGGUCCAGACUCCUACGGGAGGCAGCAGUAGGGAAUCUUCCGCAAUGGGCGAAAGCCUGACGGAGCAACGCCGCGUGAGUGAAGAAGGUCUUCGGAUCGUAAAACUCUGUUAUUAGGGAAGAACAAAUGUGUAAGUAACUAUGCACGUCUUGACGGUACCUAAUCAGAAAGCCACGGCUAACUACGUG
RNAcentral lists this ribosomal RNA (497 nucleotides) under uncultured bacterium. RNAcentral describes it as "partial 16S ribosomal RNA". It matches the Rfam family "Bacterial small subunit ribosomal RNA", at positions 28 to 507 of the family's 1533-position model. The record is from RNAcentral.